UGGGCUCGUAGCGCAACGGUAGCGCGCCUCGUUUGCAACGAGGAGGUUGCGGGUUCAAAUCCCGCCGAGUCCAU
This 74-nucleotide transfer RNA is filed under the name uncultured archaeon. Its description in RNAcentral is "tRNA-Ala(tgc)". It matches the Rfam family "tRNA". Rfam says of the family: Transfer RNA (tRNA) molecules are approximately 80 nucleotides in length. Their secondary structure includes four short double-helical elements and three loops (D, anti-codon, and T loops). The record is from RNAcentral.